GGGCCCCAUGCCCCACCAGCCUCGGGUCAGGCCAUCCCGGCUCUGCCCUCCCCCCACCCCCUGCAUGCAUGAAUCUUGGCCUGUGGGGCUGCGAGCAUGUGUGAGCGUGCAUACCCGCGGGGCUUUUCUCUUUUUCCCUUUUGUUCUGCUCUGACCUCUACCUGGUUCCGACAGGGCUGAGGGUGCAGGAGCUUCCUGCCGCUUUGGCCGGGCAAGGUGUGCAGCUGGGCUCUGCCUCCUUAACUCUGCACCAGCUCUCUCUCUCUCUCUCUCUCUCUCUCUCUCUCUCUCUCUCUCUCUCUCUCUCUCUCUCUCUCUCUCUCUCUCUCUCUCUCUCUCUCUCUCUCUCUCUCUCUCUCUCUCUCUCUCUCUCUCUCUCCUCCUUCCUUCCCCUCCCCUCCCCUUUCCCUUUUCCUCCGUCUCUCUCAAGAUUUCCCUGCUGCUAAGUCUGCUGCUGCUGCAGGAGAGCUGGGGGAAGGGCAGGGGUGCGGAGUCGGGGUGCUGGUGUCUUCUUUCUCUCUCUGCCCCCCCUCCAAGUGCGGACGCCACGGGAGCUCCGGCCCGCCCCCACCCCUGCAUUUGCGAUUGGCUCCGGGAGGAGGUGGCUACCGCUGCCGCUGCUGCAGCAUCUCCCGGGGAGCCGCGACCCUGCGCCCGCUGCCACUGCUGCCGCGGUCACCAGCCCAGCCCGAGGGGCGCCCAGGGUUCCCUGGUAGCCACCUGCAGGGACACCUGUUCCAGCACCUUACCUGCAGGCUCACCCUGGGUGAUGGUGAGCCUCCUAGCAUGAAAAUGAUGUACCUGGUCCGUGGUCUGGGGUGCUGCUCCUGAAUUCUGUCUCCUUACCCCAUCAUCUGUGUCCUCUUGGGACAAGGUGGGCAGGAAGGAGAGGGAAGAUGUUGGCAGAAGCUGGGUGUUGUUUCUGAAUGUCUGGGAGAAUGUGACUCUCUUCCGUCAGGGAGAAUGGGAGGGAACUCCAGUCUUAUUCCAUUGAGGGAAAAAUGACCAACGGUUAGGGACAGUGAGAUUUUUUUGAGACUUUCCAGCAUGCUGUGUCUGCUUCCAACCUUCUUUAUCAAGUGUGCACAUGUGUGAGAGAGACUGAGCCACAGGCAGAGAGGGUGCAGAGUGGUAGAGAUGACCACAGAAGAAUCACUGGGGGGUGGGGAAUGGGUCCUGACUUGGCAUGGGGAACUUGAGCCAACAGAACUUUGUGGGAGUUCUGUCUUUCCCCCACCAAAUGGGGUCGGUCCGCUUUGGGCCACAUUCUUGUACACACCGAACUACCUGCUUGGGGCACACACUUCUUUAUAUGCCCAUAUGGACCUGCUAAACUAUGGAAUGUAAAGAAGUGUGUAUUUCAGGCCAGGGACUCUCUCGCCAGACUGAGGGGGUGGCCUGUGCCAUGUGGGUGGCUUCUCGGGGUGGGAGAUGGACAGGCAGGGCCAUGGGAGGCCGCCUGUAAGGGGACUGGCUGUGUCCCUGACGGCAUUGUUCUGCCACUUUGCCUGUGUCAGCAGGUGGAAGCGCUCGUCAGACAUUAAAUAUUCAGUGUGCUGACUGCGGCAGAGGGAGGCGGCCCUCUGGCAGGCCUGGGGUCCCGAGUGGGGCCGGUGGGGAUGGGGGUAUGGGAGCUUGGCUUUCGAGUGGAGCUGGUAGUGACCCUUGUGUUCUGAAGAGGUACUCUCCAGCAGGAAGGGUGUGGGGACUGGGUCAGGGACUGCUCAGGCCACUGUGAGAGACUGCAAGUUCUAAAGGGCUGUGCUCUGCAGGGGGAGUGUGAAAAGAGGGGAGAGACUUUGGUAGCCACAUGGCAGAGGCUUUUGAUGGAAGAGUCUCCUGCUGCCCUGGGUCUGACUCACAGGCCUGGUGGAGGAGGGGAAGGUGGAGAGCCCUGUGCAGAGAUACCAUUGACCCCAGGGUGCUGCCAGUCCCAGCUCUACUCCUGGGUGCCCUGGCCACCCAUGAUGAUUAAGAUAAUGGAGCCAAGUGUCUGAAUCUGUCCCAACCUGGGUGGAGGAGUCAGCCCUAGGGGCCUGGGUAAUGCAGCUCAUCCUGGGACCCUGGGGGCCUAAGCUGUUUCGCUAACUCUGCAGGACUAUUCUGGCCCCGGAUUUCCCUUGUCAGAGUCCCAGCAUCAUCCCGUUCUCCUUUCUCACCAAAUCCUACCUGAAACCUUUUUGCUGGGAAGGCUAGCCAAGUUUCUGCAGAAACUUGUGCAGCCUAGGAUCCCUGUCCUGCCUGCUUUGCUGACAGCUGGUCCGGCCAGGAAAAAGGGCUGGGUUAACAGACUUUGGUCCCAGGAAAGGAAGGCAGGAUCUUCCAAGCCCUUCCCACAGAGUGGUACUAUUCAGGUAGGAUGCUGAGCAAAGGGUUCUGGGUGCAGCAGAAAGCUGGCUGGCUGUGACUCGCCAUUGCCUGGCUUCAUUUCUGGGUCUCAAGAGUAGAGGGUGUCUGUGACCGGGCUGGAGUCAGCAUCCCCACACUGGUGUCUCUUCCACAGGCCUGGGGCUUUUUCUCAUAUGUAAGUGAGGGUGUAAAUGCUGUUGUCAGUUGCCCCUACCAGCUGUGUGCAGCAGGUGCCCCUGUAUGUCCUGUACAUUCCUUUGGCAGGAAUGCGAUUGGGAGGAGUGGCAGGUCCUCUCUGUCAGCUCUAAGUGCUGGGUCUCGGGCACCUAGGUGAUCCAAGUAGCUGAGGCUUGGCUGAGGCUCUUUAGACCAAAUGCCAUGGACAGAUCUGAGCUCACAGGUGACUUUCAUUCUGGGUGGUCUUAGGGUGACUGUAACUGAGGGGCAAGGAGCCUCCACAGAAAAGAGUCCAUUUCCAGUUUUCAAGUCUUCUUUUUGGAAGCUCUCUGGAUCCACGUGUGCAGAGGGUAUGGUAAUGAGAAGGCAGCCUUGUCCUUGGCACUACCUCCCUCUUGGUCAUUGGUCCUGAGUGGUCAGUGCUCCAUAACCCCCGGAAGGUCAUCCAUACCCCCACUUGAUUCCAGCUCCGGCCACAGGGAGGUAAACAGCCGGUGUGUGGCCACUGAGGUUGCCAGCGGCCACAGGCACACCACUGUCUUCCGUUAGAUAUGUCUGUCAUACAUUAAAGCUUUAUUGCAGGAUGUGGUGUUUAAAUAAAAGCCUUAGUGUUUUGGAAUUAGGUUUGACUGAGCAGUAAAACUAGAGAGUUUGCAGGGAGCGAGCCUCAGCCUUCUUGGUUAUAAAUCACCUCAGGACUCUUCACCUGCUGAAUUAAAGAUGAGUACCUUGGACACCUCCCUGCAAGUCUGCCCCCACCCCCAGUCUGUGAGAGGGCUGAUUCCCUGGUGACACUUGUGAGGGGACUGUGGUCGUGACAUCUGGUGUAUGAGUUUUCACAGGAUGGACUGGGGAGAGACCCCACGCCAUCCUGGUGUGUGGUUGGCCAAGAUGGUCUUCUAUGGUGUCUUUGGAUUUUCACAUGGGAAGGAGGCAUGAGGCAGGCUAGGUUGGGACAGGGAUCCCCACGAGGACUUUCUUAGUUUGUGUAUCAUUCCAGACACACAGACAAAGGCUUGGAUUCUAAGAGCUAAGGGAGCCUAGAUGAAGCCCCGGGGAGCGAAGAGGACACCUUACCUAACCUGGUCAUGCCUAGCAGGUUGGGGAGUCAAAAGAGCAAGCAGCUGUGAGGAAUUUUGAGCUCCUUUUUCCGAUCUCACAGGGACAGGGCUGUACCACUUGGUCUCUUCAGCUUCCAGAAUGUGCUGGAAGCAUUUGUGCUAUGAACAGAGUUCAUGGGGACCUGAACUCUGCUGAGAGAGCAGUAGAUUUGAGAACCAUGGGUCUCCUAGGUUCAGGGGACACAGUGAGCUGAAUAUUCCCAUGCUUCGGUUCACACCUGGAACUUAACUAGGACUGGGCAGUCUGCAGAUUGGGCUGAGCCUCAUGAGUAUCAAAGUGAGGUGUGUGUGUGUGUGUGUGUGUGUGUGUGUGUGUGUGUGUGUGUGUGUAAUCAAUUACUGAUUUUUAGCCAGGUGACCAAGGACAUUGUGCCAGCCUCUCUAAAGAGGGGGUCUGAUACUGAUUCCAGCUAAACAAAUAGCACCGUACCUUGAGUGGGAUAAAGUAUUUUUACAGCACAAGUGUUUCAGAGUAUGUGCUGGCCUGAUAAAGAACUAGCAGGCUCCUUAGCAAACUCAUUUAGAGCUGUUGGCUUCAUGUGAAGAGCAGCAUCCAAGAGUAAACCACUAUUAAGCGUGGUUAGGUUGACGGCAGGAUGGGUAUUUUAGCUGCCGUAGUCUAAGUCAGUCAAAGUGAAGAUGGCUCGAAACGCAUACCGCGCGCCCCUUCCACUCUGCCCCCACACCAAAAUAUUGUAACUUAAAAAAAGGGAGGGGACCUGAGUCAAUUUCAGGACCAGGGUACUGGGGCACAGGGAUGAAGACGCUGGGGAGGGUUGAGGGAGCUGUGAGCGACUGGUUAAUCGACACCACCUUUGCUGAAAGGGUAAUGAGCCUUCUGCAAGGUUUUGUGCUGACUCAGCAGCCAUGCAGCUCUGAUUGCAGACCGUCUCCCUCUACAGCAAAGCGCUGCUCCCUGCUUGAUGUCCACGGGCAGGGCACCCUCCUCAGGGUGGCCGGACUUGAGUGUGGUGUGGACCAGUAGAGGUAGGCUGUAAGGGUGAGAACACCUGGCCUUAUAAAGAACCUCAGUCUUGCCUGGUAUCCUUACCUGGCCAGCAACCCUGGCCCCAGUGUCCUCGGUGAAUCACACUUGGAAAGGGGCAGGCAUGGCUUUCAGGCAGGGAAGGGAGCAAAGGGUCAGUACAGGCAGUUCUCAGAUGCUGUGCUGGCUGCUCCUUCCUGGGCUCAGGACCUGGCCAGCUAGAGUUUGGGUUUGGAAGGUCCUCUAAGGAGGCUGCUGGGUGACCUUAGCUCUCCCAGUUCCAGGCUGUCUGUGACCCUGGAAGACUGGUGCUGCUGAUAAUGUGGGAGGGGCAGCAGCUGGAAUGGUGCAGGCUGCUGCAGAGCUGCUGCUGGGUGCUGCAGUGCAGCUGCAGCCGCAGGCACAUGCAGGCCUGCGUGUCUCAAGGGCAGAGAUGAGAGGCCACCUACAGCAGACCUUCAAAUCUGCAGGCAGGGUGGGCUUUCUGUGAGGUGGCCACUGCAAUAGUUGUUGAGGCCACUGGUGUCUUCAGGUUCCUAGGGGCCUGCUAAGACUCUGGGGUGGGUCUGCUAACUGCUAGGUGGGACAGCCUCACAGGUUACAACUGUGGGUGAUGGGAAGGGGCGGAGGCCUCCCAGGACUGCUCUGCGCACCUGGAGAACAGUGACAAGGAAGCCCUACUGGAAUGCUGAGAGUGGAACUUGUGGUCUGUUCCCUAGCCAAGAGAGUCCCCCAUGAAGUGGUUUAGAGUCUAGGGUCUCCUUCCCUGAGGCCAAACGGGGAGCUAGGGUUAAAUAGUGACCCCUCAUUGGUGCCGGGCAAACAUGUGGGCAGGUGCAUGUGUGUGUGUGUGUGUGUGUGUGUGUGUGUGUGUGUGUGUGUGUAAGACAGAUUCAGGAUAAAUAGGACACUGAACCAGAGUAUUUUUAACUGCAAGAAGGGGAGAGGGCAGCUGUCCUGAAGCCUGUCAUGGGGGUUCCAUGGGGACACUGUGAGGCUCAAGGGCAUCCAGGACAGAUGUGCCACCUGGACCCUGUCCUCCUGGCAGUCUCAUGUGUCCCCAGUCAUGCCCAGAUAUGGCCAUAGGGCCGUGUGUGUGCCUCCCCAGUCUUGUCCGUGUCAUGGCGGGUAUAAAUAGACUACAUUCUCAGCUGUCCUGUUGGAGAGGCUGGACUUGGGUGACUUGGGGCUGCAGAGCCCCCAGGAGUUCUCCCUUGAACCCUGCUGCCUCCCCAGUGCUCCCAUCAGCAGCUGUAGCCUGGGUGUGGCUCUGAGCCCACUCUGACUUGGUGUUUCUCCUCCUUGUGUACCCCUUCCAGGCUGUUGAGUCCAGGUGAGAUCUGGUGGCUUCCUCUUGUCCCUUCUCAAGGACACAGUGCGGCUUUUGCUCACUGAAGGAGGGCAGAAGAGGAAGAGCCCUAGUGAGUUGGUGGAGGAGAUGUUCUGGACUCCGCCUGUGCCAGGCCUGAGUUGCUGUAAGCAUGGGCCCUGCUGUGAGAUCUCCCCAGCCCACACUUGGAGCUUGGCAUUGCUCACUUUGGCCUCAGUAAGUGAGUUUCCAAUGGUGAGAUUCCAAACAUCAAAAGACGAGGGCCUGACACGAAGGAGUAAAAUGUUCAUCUGGCACCCCUCGAGCACAGGGUGCCACUCUCACGUCCAAAGACAGUGCCCUGUCCUGUCAUGUCUCUGCACUCUGGUAGACCUCCCAAACCAUAGGGAGAGUAAGAACACCGUAGAGGGUGGAGCACACUGUUCACUGUUAUUACCUGUGCCUCCCAUGGCAUCCUAAAUCCUAUGGUGGCUGAACAGGACAUGCGUCAUCUGACAGCAUGUCUGAAUUCCACGCUCUUGGCACUGGUAGCUGCAGCAUCUGUCUCUGUGGGAAGAUGGGGUACAGGAUAUUUGUGACCCACCUGUCCUGCCCACAGCAGGGGCUUUAACCAGACUCUGUUGACAGCCACUCGCCCCUCCCCCACCUCUUCUCAGAACAGAAACUCUCCCUGACCUCCAGGACCUGUGAUUGAGUUCUUAGUUACAAGUUUUGUCUUUGAGUAGAAGCAGGGAUCACUAUGGCCCUAUCUUUGAGAUAAUAAGACACACACACACACACACACACACACACACACACACACACACACACACACACUGUCUUUCCAUUUUUGCAAAGAACAGCAAAACAAUUGUGUGUCCCUUCCCAUCCCUGCCUCUUCUGCUUGCCCCUUGUUCUGUGGGUCUGUUUCAGGUGAAAUUUAUCUCUAAGAAGGGCCUCAUCAAUUUGCCAUGCUCCUUUGUUGACAAGUUUAUUAAAAAUCCAGGCAACUCUGUAUUAAACUUUUAUCAGUUUUGAGAAAAAAUACAUUUUUUUGAACAGACAGGAAAGUUAUGGAUUUGAGCUGAAUGGGUCUUGGUGGUGUCUGGCUGAGUCAGCAUUGCUGAUACAAAGAAGUGAUGCUGUUUGUGGGCUAAGAGUUCCUCCUGUUUUUGAGUUGUGAUUUUUUUCUGGAGACUGCCCAUGGGACUCGGUACCCCCAAACAGGACUUCCAGAAAGUUCCUGAGAAGCAGUCCUGGCCAGGGCCACUCAUACUCACUGGUCUGUCUGCAACUCUUUUCUAUCUGUUUUAAUGGUGAGCCACAAUAUGGAGCUAAAUGUUAAUUUUGUGGUGAAUUUGCUUGCCAGUGGGCAAUAUCACUAUGUGGAGAAAUAUUAGGUUACUGGUGCUUAAAUUUUACAAGCUCCACAGAAAGAAAACAGAACGCACCAAGGAGGAAUUGGUGGCAUUCUCCUGAGGUGGGAGUGGGGACAGUGGGGUCAAGAACCUGCCAUUGGCUAGGGGCUACCCUGUGCUAGUCCAACUAGUGUCUUUGGCGUGGGAGGAUACAGGGUCCCCCAGAUGGGCUCUUAAGUCCUUGUGAGAACUCUGGCUACAGGUACAGCUGAACUUACUCUGUGGCCUCUCGGCAGUGGCUGGCUACACAUGGGACCAGGUAUUGGUUGUCCUUGAGCAGCAGUAUUUGGUAUUAGAAUUAGGUGAAGGAUUCAUCAUACCUACUGUGUUAGGGCAAGUGCCACAUGUCUCUGGAGCUGGCUGUGUCAUUUCUGCCCAAAGUAGCUGCUGUUCUUGACAUCCUGGGGUGAGGCUGAUGGUGCUGGAUGAAGCAGAGCCCUCUCACUGUCCUUGUUGGCCAUAUAGCCAGGGGUCACCUGUGGAACCACGGUAGGCAUGGAAUGACAGGCCACAUAGGACUAACCCUCAGUCUCAGGGUCAUCAAACUCAGGUGCUUACUGCUCCCCACACUUUUUAUGUUGAGAAACUUAGGCCCAGAGAGGCCCAGGAAACACCUAAUCACCUCUAGUUUGGAGUGCGUUACUCCAGAGUCUGUCUCAAAGGUCAGGCCUGGGGACAGACAGCUGCAAGGGACAACACUAAUCCUGCUGAGAGCUAGCUACUGCUUCUGAUCCCUGAGGCUGCUGUGUUACCUUCCUCCCAGCAGGGCGCCACAGGGGUCUUGAUCCCCUAGCAGAUGCAGGAGGGCUUCCUUGUGAGGUGGCAGCUGCUGCUCUAAUCCAUAUCCUAAGUCCGAGGAGCCUCAAGGGGUGAGAGUGAGCUGGCCGGUGCCAGCAACCACCAGCAUUGAGUGUGUGCUUGUGAGUGGUCCCCGAUCCAUCUCUAUCUCUAUUGCUCUUUGCUCCAAUUAUAACUAAUUGAGUGUGUACUGCAUUUUCAUGGCACCUAAUUUUCCAUUGAUUUUACCAGCGCUGCUGGUGUUUUCAGCAGCGAAUACCCAUGUCUAGUGUCUGUCGCUGCUUGGAAAUUCUGAGUAUGCUUCUCCCACAUGAGAUGACUCCAUCAGCAGAUGUUUUAAAACCUUUUUAUAACUGUUUGGCCCAUAAAAUCCACAAACCGUAGUGCCUAUGGUCCUGUCCCAUUCGCUUUGGAAAUCCAGUAAAGAGGAUCCCCAAAGAAGCCAUGCCCUCAGGUUCCAGUGCCAACCUUGCUAUCCUUGCAAAUGCUGCAUUUGCCAACCAUGGUUGGGUGCCUCUGUGCCCAGCAUGCCCCUGUGAGCUGACUUGCUUUCUAGGGUGGGUGGGGGAGCACCAUGGCAGAGUUACUUUUUACUAUGAUGAAGCCUCUCAUGUCUUGUGUCUGAGAGGGCAGGGUAGUUGAACAAAGAUAACAGUGCAGAAGAGGGCAGGACAGCCUGGGGAACAGAGGUUUUGAGAUGAAGUAAAUGCCCAGAUCUAGGAGAAGGUGGGUCUUGUGGAAAAGUCAUGGGUCCUUGAGGUUUUGGAGCUUUGUGAUGUGAGCAUCUUUUUGUUGUUGUUCAGAAAGAACAGAAAGAAAAUAAUAUCUACAAGGAGUUCAGGUAAUUCUUGGAGACCUCUCUGGACAGCUUCUAAUGGAGGCCGAGACCAAGUUCGCUUUGUCCAAUGGAAACAACCCAUUGAGACCAUUGGUAUAGAAGUUGUUGUCUCUUCAGGGUUCUAUGUCAUUGGUGUUUGAGGAGACUAAGCCAGUGUGUUGGCCAUUCACUCAGCGGAGUGACUAGGAGGCACUCCUGGUAGACCAUAUGGGGCAAGGGGAGCAAAGAUCAGGAUCUUUGCUGGAUGGUGACCAGGUGGUGACCACCUCAGGGUGGUGACUGGGGGAUGCUGAUGCUGCCCAAGCCUCCAUGUCCCCCUAGCGGCAAGAGGUAGUUGUGCCAAGCUGUGGGCAGACAACAGGAGCUGGUGGUGCUUCAGUUGUGUUGGGUAACAGGACACUGGGUGCUGGAUGUUAGCUCUGGAGGUGAUGACAAUAAGUCAACUCUUGGUUAAGACCAUGUAUGGACACACCCUGUAGAUUGCCUAGAGGUCCUGGUGUGUGUGAGCGAUAUGAACUCUGGCUAGCAGUGUUUACUCUCCUCCCUACACUGCUGAGUGAGUAGUUCAGGACCCAUGUCCUUGACGUAUUCAGCUCCGGUCACUCUGCUUCCCACAUGUCCUGUUAAGUCUGAGUCCAUCUGAGGAGUGCUGGGACAGUCUAGGAAGGAACCAAAGACCUGUUCAUCUGGGGGGAAAUUCCUCUAACCUGGUGACAUCUGGACAGAAUAAGAGUCUUUAUAAGGGCAAAGGGGAAUGCCAGCUCUGUCUUCCUGUGACUCUGAUCCUUGGCAAAAUGAAAUUGUGCCCAAGGGUUGGGAAUGUGACCUAGCACUGGGGUGGGAUUUCGGCUUGACACAUCAGGACAAGGGUGCCUGUGGUCCUCUUCCUUGGUCUCCAACAUGGUAGCUAAUGGCUUGGGGCCAGAUUCGGGGCUAAUUCUAUCUCUUGUCAAAUCUUCCUCUCCAUUAGCUAUAUUGACAACAUAGAUAAAGGGUGACUGUGGCCAGCAGGGAGAUGUAAAACAUUUUCAUUGGGGGCUGGAGAGGCAGGUGGGGAGCCUGGAGUUUACUCUGCUCUAAGAACAGGGGAGGAGAGCCAUGUGCUGAGCCAGAGACUGGUGGCUGCAAGUAUCUGUGUGGGCUGAAAGUCAGAUACCCCAGUGCUCCAGGGGGACAUCAAGGCCUCCCUGGGUGAAUCUUUCUGGAGGAGGUGAUGUAUCAGGGAUGCCUAGAGAAGGCUGCUGUGAACAUGGGCUGGAGUGGGUCUGGUGUAGACUGAGGUUGUGGGUUACCCAACAGUUCUUGGAUGGUUGAUAUUCCCUGAGGGACACACACAUACACCCACACCCACACCCACAUACAGACACACCACAUAGAGACACACACACAGGCAGACACACACACCGAGAGACACAUACAGAUACACACACAUACUCAUACACACGCACAUAUACAGACACACAUACAAACACAUACACACAGACACACACAGAGAUAGACAGACAGACAGACAGACAGACAGACAGACAGACAGACAGACAGACACACACACACACACACACACACACACACACACACACACGCAGAGGACACCAUGUCCCCUCUGACUCCCAUCCUUGUUCCUGGCGAACGGGUGUCAUUGGAAAACUAGUUUUCUUACAGGGAAUGUGAAACUUCUGAGUCACUGAGCAGGAACUGUGAAUUAGGAGGCUGAUAGCGCUAGAGAAUCAGGGCACAGACGCUGGCUUCUUCUGUCCCGUGUCACCUCUCAUGCCACAUAAACCAGGCUACACUGGAAUAUCCCAGCUGCUGCCCCCCCCCUCCCCGAGGCCAUGUAUGGCGUCUGAUCUACCCUUGCCCCCAAGCUCACUGCAAGCCAGGGCUGUCUGCCCAGCCACGGGCCCAUGGCUAACUGAGAGCAACCGUCUUGCCUUGACACAGUGAAAGUGCAUCUGGAUGAUGCUCAAGUGUGAAAACCUGUGACAUCUUCAAGUCCCUCAUGUGAGCCCGUGGCCAGAGUCUCGAUGGUCUUGGGAGUGACCAGACAGGACACUGGGCAACACUGGGGUAUAUAUGGGUUCAUGGCAAGUGUGAUGGAGAUUGUGGGACCCAGCUAAGGGCAGAAGGACCAACAGCUGCCCCCCAAGGUCCUGGGGGAUCACUCCGGGGCACAGAGAGGGUCUGAAUGUGCGUGUGUCUCCUCAGGCCCAGACCAUGUAGAGCUCCCAAGCCCGUGAGUCUGCAUGGGCUCCUGGAGAAGGGAGGGCCUGGGACGGGACACCAGCCUGACAGAGCCACCUUCUUCCUGGAGCCACUCGUCUCUGGAUCUGAAGCAGAAUGCUUUGCUGAAGCUGGUAAAAUGGAACCAAAUCAGCUGUUGGAUGGAUUUGGUCCCCUUCAACCAGCUGUAGCUGCGCAUUGAUGGCGCCGCCCAGCCCAGCCAGAGGACGCGGUCACGGCAAGAGGACACGGUCACGGCAAGGACUCUCCAAAGGUUGCAGGGAGGCCUCAGCAAUGUGGCUCCAGCCGCCUGGGUCCCUGAGUGGCCCUGGGUUGGAAUCCGGGGCUCCUCUUGUUUCCACCACAGGCAAGUGGAGGAGGAAGCCAACAUCUCCCCAAGCCGUGGCCGACCCAGCCCAGGUCGUUUGCCAGGAGGCUGUGAAAAUAAAUAAAUGUUCUGUUCACACCAGAGCUUUGCUUCAAAACUGAGCACUAAGGCCCAGGCAGAUGGGGUUGGGUGCAAGAAGUCUCUGGGUUCCCCUCAGUAAGUUCCAAGCUAAGGGUGCUUCCCUGGCCCUGGAAGGCAGCAUGAGUUUAUCCUGUCAGGUUUAUCCUGUCACUGGGGAGGCUGAGCUGGUGGCCACUCUCCAGAACACGUGGUGGUACGGGAUCUUUUGGGAAGAACCCCGCAGGGCCCUGCAUGGCUCUGUGGCACAGAGGCACACGUGAGGGUUGCUGUCAUGGAAUCAGGGUCAUGCAUCUGGCGGGAAGCCAGACCACCAACUGGUGCGUCUUUAGUUGGCGGAAGUGCAGGAGGUUGGCUGCAGUGAGGACACUCGCACACUUGCGCCUCUGCUUGGAUCCUUAUGCGUACAGCUCUUCCUUGGCAGGGCCCUGCAUGAGUUUGGGGCCACUGGGCACUCACAGCUAUGGUCUGGUGGCCUCUAAAUAAUGUGCCUGCCAAGAGUGAACCCCAACUCCCACCUAGAGUGGCAGGGAUAGGUUUGUUUAACUUAGGAACUAUGGCUGUUAGCCCGGAGUGGUUGAGACCUGGGACAGGGGUCUGAGAGGAGGUGGAAAGUGGCACCAGACAGACAGAAGAUUCUCCAACCCAGUCGUGGCUCAGGGUCAGCACUUAGCCCCGCUGCCUAGCCCAGCAAUCUUUCCCUGAUUCUGCAUAGACCUGGCAUCUCUCUUCACACAUGUUUGUCCCUAAGGGUGGGAACAUCAAGAAAUUGGAGGCUGUAGGAGGGGAAGGUAAGAAAGGACAGCCAACCCUUAGUGGGGUUUUAUAUCCCGGAGGCCUUUAUAGCUGGUAGUGGGGUUGGCAGCUUUCAGGGUGACAUUCCUCAACUUGAAACCCACAUGGACACACUGGCAGAGGGCUGCCCUUGAUGAGGUCUUUUGCAAACUUUUACCCAGUGAUUUGAGCUCAGUCUUGCCUAAGAGGGGAGAUUGGGGGACUCUCCAUCCCCUAACAGAGGACCUGGGAAGAAACCAAGGUCAGCCUUGGUUUGCUCUGCCUCCAUUUCCACCCAAGAGCAGAGACUGGAAAUGGUUUUCAAUGGCCUGUCAAAAACCCCACCCGGGUGAGAACUGGGCCUCACCCACCUCAAACAAGUACUGAGCCACACCCACUGUGAGCACUAGACCAUACUUCCAUGGGCACUAGAUCACAUGCAUCUAUGAACACUGGGCCACACCCAUCAUGAGCACUGAGCCACACCUAUCAUGAGCACUGAGCCAUACUGAUGUGAAUUCUGAGCCACAUCCAUCACCAUGAAGACUGGCUGCACAGGGAAUGAGCACAGGGUCUCACCCACUGUGAAUGCUGGACCACACCCACCACGAGCACUGGGAGCAGACCAAGACAUGCCCAGACCAAAUGCAGUGUGGGCAUGCUUAGUCUAUGGCCUCAACAUUUAAGAUAGGCUGUUGUGUCCCCAAACACACACCUCCUUCCUGGGCAGCCAAUCUAGCUUUGGGCCAAACAUUUCCUGACAGGACACAUCUCUAAGGCAGGUACCUACUGGGAAGAGGGGCCCAACCUGGUAAAAGGCACUUCUGGGGUCUAAGGACAGAGAUGUGGAUGGUGAAAAUUCGGCAAUGUCACCCUUGGACAGAGAGUUGACCCCCCAGUCCUAGCAUUGCUGAAAAUCCUGGGCCAGCCUGAGAUACCUCAGGCUCUCAUUAGAAAUUCAGAUUCCAGGCCCUGGUGGCCCCUAUGUCUGACCCUACAGGACAGGAGCCCAAGAACACAGAUUUUCAUCAAAUGCACCAGAGAAUCUUUCCCAUCAGGCAUUUUGACCUGGUUCCCCUCCAGCCUGGGGAUACUGGGGCCUGGCUUUCCUUUGCUGUCAUUUUACCCCAUGCCUCUGAACACUUAUGACAUUGAUCUUACCUCUGGGCUCCGGAAGUCAUUGCUGUGGUGCUUAGAGUCCAGAGUCACUGUCUAUAGGUCUUUGACCUUGUCAAUCCCCCCCCCCAUCUUCCUGCCUGAGCUGGGACUGGUAUGUACUUGCACAAUUGUCAAAUUCCAAGGCAAAGUGUGUUCCAGGGUGAAUUUCUCUCCCAUCUCUUCUUGGUCUUAGCCAUGCGAGCACAUGUGUGCACACAUCCACACAUCUGUGCCUAUAAUUCUAUGCAAAGGUCUCUCCUGGAGUCUUGUGCCUUGGCCCCACCUGGGUCAUGGGCAGCUCGGCUCAUGUCCUCUCAAGGUCCUGAAGUUUAUGGAUGAAUCCAAGAAACAUUGUCCUCUUGCUGUCCAUGAUUGUCCCUGUUCUAGGUCACUUGGAUGGCAUCCGUCUAACCUAGUUGGUGCUGAGACUUGUUUGGUGACCCUGUGGCCUGACUGAAGUCAUUCUGAUUUCUGGGAGCUCAAGGCCCAGGCCUCCUGCAAUUCUUUAUGGUCCUGUGGGGACCCCACUGUCACCCGGUACUCUCUGUUCCUUGUUUGAACUGCCAUCCCGGUCCCAGUGCCUUGUUCUUCCUCAAGUCCCUCAAGUGUCCCCAGCUUCCUGACCAUAACACUUGUAAGUGACAACUGUGUGCUGGGCCAUGGAGUCACUUGUGGUGACCUCUCGGUUCCUCUCCUCAUGCCUGGGCCUUGAGGUGAGUCUGUGGAAGAUACCACAGAGCAAGUGCUGAAAGGUGGGCUCCUAGAGGUUGUGGUUGAAUGCCGGGCUGGGUGGGGCUAGCGGAUGCGACCCUGGAGCUCUGAAUGCAAUCGAAGCUGAGCCCACCCAAGUGAGAUGGAGUGCUUCCAAUCCCUGCUUCCAUCCUAACCUGAAGACAGGAUUCUUGUCUGCCUGGGACACCAGCUUGGAUUAAUUUUCUUCAUGGGAUCUUAACAAAUGUGCUCGUGUCUCAACUGUACUCUGGGCUGCACAGUUGGGCUCUAGGUCCUGCCUGGAGCAUUUCUUUCCUACAAGCUGGACCCUAGGUUCCUGUUACUGACAUCUGAGUAUGGAAAGGGCAAAUGGCCUUAAGGACAAUCUAUCUCUGAUGACACAAGGCAUUCCCCUGUCAUUGAUAGGACACUGGCGCAGGAGGGCAGUACCUGAGUUCAUAUUUAGUGAGGCUCCGGGUGGUGUGAGCAGGAUGUGUCCCCUGCUGUCCAAGCCACUUCAGAGGAUUCCGUUGGUUCUGCUGCAUCUGGAUAUACCUUACCAAGCUUUCAGGCUUGGUGGGUCUGUUUUGUUUGUUUGUCUUUGGUUUUUGUCAAGACAGGGUUUCACUCUGUAGCUUUGGAGCCUGUUCUGGAACUCUCAUUGAAUGGGAAUCUUUCCAUUUCAACUAGACUGGCUGGUCAGUGAACUCUAGGGAUCUGACCAGCCCUGCCCCUGUCCCUGCUGCCAUGAUGGGGUAACAGGCCUGUACAACCACGCCUGUCUCUUUACAUGGAUGCUGGGAAUUCAAAUUCAGGUCCUCAAGCCUCCAGAGCAGGCCCUCUUACCUGUUGGAUCAUCUCCUCAGCCUCACAUAAACUUCUGGUUGUUGUUUUUAAACAACAUACAAGCCAUGUAUGGUGGUCUGUGCCUGUAAUCCCAGCACUUUUCGAAGUAGAGGCAGAAGUUUGGCUACUUAGUGGGUUAGAGGCCAGCCUUGGCUAUGCAAGACCCUGUCUCAAAAAAACAAAUGAAAGAAAAUAAAACCAAGACUGAAAUAAAAGACAUAAGGGAUAACCCUACUAUACAAAUGCAUGGUUUAAUUGGUUCAUCUGAGGCAAACAAACUUACACCCGUGGAAAUGUCAGAACUCUGCCUCUUCAUCCAGAAUGUUCCACAGGCCUUCACAGUGGAACACAGUCAUUCACAGCCUUCCUCUGUCCAAGAGUGACCCUGGCCCGUCCUUUAGAGGCCACCGACUAUGUUUUUUUUCCUGAACACUGUGACUGAGUUUUGCCUCUCUUCUUAAAACUUAACAGCUGAGUAGUACUCCCUUGUGUAAAUGUACCACAUUUUCUUUAUCCAUUCCUCAGUGGAGGGACAUCUUGCUUGUUUCCAGGUUCUGGCUAUUACAAAUAAAGCUACAAUGAACAUAGUUGAGCAAGUGUCCUUAUGGUAUGAUUGAGCAUCCUUUGAAUAUAUGACCGAGAGUGAUAUAGCUGGGUUUUGUGGUAGGUUGGUUUCUAGUUUCCUGAGGAACCGCCACACUGACUUCCAAGUGGCUGUACAAGUUUGCACUCUCACCAGCAAUGCAGGAAUGUUCCCCUUGCUCCACAUCCUCUCCAGCCUGAGCUGUCACUUGUGUUUUUGAUCUUAGCCAUUCUGAAAGGUGUCAGAUGGAAUCUCAGAGUCAUUUUAUUUUGCAUUUCCCUGAUGGCUAAGGAUAUUGCACGUUUCCUUAAGUGUUUCUCAGCCAUUUGAGAGUCCUCUGUUGAGAAUUCUCUGUUUAGAUCUGUACCCCACUUUUUAAUUGGAUUAUUUGGCUUGUUGAUAUUUAAUUUCUUGAGUUAUUUAUUUAUAUAUUUUGGAGAUCAGUCCUCUGUCA
This 16207-nucleotide long non-coding RNA is filed under the name Cricetulus griseus (Chinese hamster). RNAcentral's name for it is "lncRNA (ENSCGRG00015030056.1)". The stretch from base 11338 to 11409 matches the Rfam family "mir-133 microRNA precursor family". The record is from RNAcentral. Lineage: Eukaryota; Metazoa; Chordata; Mammalia; Rodentia; Cricetidae.